AAACGAAGCUCUAAAAUUUUAAGAGACUUUGCUGGGCCAUGCAAAUAAUGAUGUUUCCGCCUCAGUCUCUCAAUUAGAGAGGAUCCUCCAGCACAGAAUUUCUGCCAAACAAGCUGAUUUUCUUGGAGUUGAUGUAUCGAGGGAGGAGAUCAAAACUACUAUGUUCUUUUUGCCCGAGAACAAAGCUCCGGGUCCCGUGGUUUCCCCGCUGAAUUCUUUCAAUCUACUUGGGACGUCACGUUGUCUUCUGUGGAACAAGCUUUACUAGAGUUCUUCUCUUAUGGCAGGCUAUUUAAGUAGGUAAACUCCACUAUUAUCACUCUGGUCCCUAGGAAGUUGAAUGCAGAUAAAAUGAGGGACUUUAGGCCUAUCUCAUGUUGUAAUACAUUGUACAAAUUCAUCAUUAAAUUGACCGCAAAUAGAUUAAAAUGUGUGGUGCCCUCUCUUGUAAGUAGGAAUCAAAGUGCUUUUAUAAAGGAGAGGCAGAUUUCUGAUAAUAUUCUGCUAGCCCACGAGCUUCUUUUUGAAAUUAUCACGCAAAAGAAAUGAGCCCACGUUGUGCCAUCAGGAUAGACCUCACGAAAACUUUUGAUUCUCUCGAUUGGAGUUUCCUCUGUAAUUUGUUACAGGCCGUGGGCUGUCCAGAUAGGUUGAUCAAGUGGAUAUCUGCUUGUAUUACUUCCCCUUGGUAUUCUGUUGCCAUGAACGGAUCGCUUCCAGGACAUUUUAAGGGUGGAAAGGGUGUGAGGCAAGGGUCCAUUGGGUGGCUUGGAUAAGGAAUUAUAUGCUUAAGGGGCAGAACUUAUGGCAGGCUAAUCCUCAGAGGAAUAGCUCAUGGAGUUGGCGGAAGAUAUUAAAGCUGAGAGAGAUCGCAAAAUCUCUUGCAAGCUAUAAGGUGGGGGACUAGGGAAAGCAUUUCCUUCUGAUUCGACAAAUGGUGUGAGGAGGGUCCGUUGGUUGACCUCUGCACAUCAGGUUUUAGAUGCUUCCCUACAAUUCCGAGAUGUGGAAAGAUAUUUGCCCAAGCAGGUCAAGAGUGGAGUGGCACAAGCUUAUAUGGUUCUUUGGUCAUGUCCCGAGAGCAUCUUUUAUUUGUUGGCUCGCGCUGCUUGAUAGGCUUACAACAACGGACAUGUUGAAGAAGUGGGGUCAUUUGGUUACUGAUGGUUGUUGCUGUUUUUGUCAAAUGGAGGAGGAAAAUAGAAGUCAUCUAUCUUUUACAUGCUCAUUUACGAAGAGCAUAUGGGAGAAAAUCAGGAAUAUUUUGUUCCUUGCAGGUCCAACAGGGGAUUGGGAUAAGGAAUACAAUGAAGCUCUCGAAUGGAAGGGUAAGAAGCUGGAAACUAUAAUUAAGAAACUGGCAUGGACAGUUUAUAUAUACAUCGUUUGGAGCGAGAGGAAUGUCCGUAUCUUUCAGGGAAGGGCAAAAUCUGCAGAGGUCUUAACUUGCUCUGAAGAUUUUGUGCAGUUCUUUUAUUGAUUUAUUUCGUUCAAGAGAGUUGCUGUAAUUGAGUGUUUGAGAUUGUUGCUGUACUUGGGUGUUUGAGUGAGGUGCUAUAUUUGGGUGGAUUGUAAGUCAAGACAUUGUACUUAUUUCGGUUUGAAUAGAU
Non-coding RNA from Punica granatum (pomegranate), 1610 nucleotides. The record is from RefSeq and is a predicted model, not a curated record. NCBI's taxonomy places the organism in Eukaryota, Viridiplantae, Streptophyta, Magnoliopsida, Myrtales, Lythraceae.